GACGAACGCUGGCGGCGUGCUUAACACAUGCAAGUCGAACGGAAAGGCCCUGCUUUUGUGGGGUGCUCGAGUGGCGAACGGGUGAGUAACACGUGAGUAACCUGCCCUUGACUUUGGGAUAACUUCAGGAAACUGGGGCUAAUACCGGAUAGGAGCUCCUGCUGCAUGGUGGGGGUUGGAAAGUUUCGGCGGUUGGGGAUGGACUCGCGGCUUAUCAGCUUGUUGGUGGGGUAGUGGCUUACCAAGGCUUUGACGGGUAGCCGGCCUGAGAGGGUGACCGGCCAAGUCGGGACUGAGAUACGGCCGAGACUCAUACGGGAGGCAGCGGGGGGGAAUAUUGCACAAAGGCCGGAUGGCUGAUGCAGCAACGCCGGGUGCGGAGUGACGGGCUUCGGGUUGAAAACCGCUUGCGCCUGUGACGAAGCGUGUGUGACGGUAAUGGGUAAAGAAGCACCGGCUAACUACG
This 466-nucleotide ribosomal RNA is filed under the name uncultured bacterium. Its description in RNAcentral is "partial 16S ribosomal RNA". It matches the Rfam family "Bacterial small subunit ribosomal RNA", at positions 28 to 505 of the family's 1533-position model. The record is from RNAcentral.